Non-coding RNA from Camelus ferus (Wild Bactrian camel), 73 nucleotides. NCBI's taxonomy places the organism in Eukaryota, Metazoa, Chordata, Mammalia, Artiodactyla, Camelidae. The record is from Rfam.
GAGAGUAUGGCUCAAGUGGUAGAGAACAUGUUUAGCGUGCAUGAGGUCCUGGGUUCAAUCCCCAGUACCUCCC